GAUGAACGCUGGCGGCGUGCCUAAUACAUGCCAGUCGAGCGAACAGACGAGGAGCUUGCUCCUCUGACGUUAGCGGCGGACGGGUGAGUAACACGUGGAUAACCUACCUAUAAGACUGGGAUAACUUCGGGACACCGGAGCUAAUACCGGAUAAUCUAUUGAACCGCAUGGUUCAAUAGUGAAAGACGGUUUUGCUGUCACUUAUAGAUGGAUCCGCGCCGCAUUAGCUAGUUGGUAAGGUAACGGCUUACCAAGGCAACGAUGCGUAGCCGACCUGAGAGGAUGAUCAGCCACACUGGAACUGAGACACGGUCCAGACUCCUACGGGAAGCAGCAGUAGGGAAUCUGCCGCAAGGGGCGGAAGCCUGACGGAGCAACGCCGCGUGAGUGAUGAAGGUCUUCGGAUCGGAAAACUCUGUUAUUAGGGAAGAACAAAUGUGUAAGUAACUAUGCACGUCUUGACGGUACCUAAUCAGAAAGCCACGGCUAACUACGUG
Molecule: ribosomal RNA, 497 nt
Filed under: uncultured bacterium
Lineage: Bacteria
Description: partial 16S ribosomal RNA
Rfam family: Bacterial small subunit ribosomal RNA
Source: RNAcentral